UACGUAGGGCGCAAGCGUUGUCCGGAAUUAUUGGGCGUAAAGAGCUCGUAGGCGGCUUGUCACGUCGGGUGUGAAAGCCCGGGGCUUAACCCCGGGUCUGCAUUCGAUACGGGCAGGCUAGAGUGUGGUAGGGGAGAUCGGAAUUCCUGGUGUAGCGGUGAAAUGCGCAGAUAUCAGGAGGAACGCCGGUGGCGAAAGCGGCCCGCUGGACCCUCUCUGACGCUGAGGCGCGAAAGCCAGGGGAGCAAACGGG
Molecule: ribosomal RNA, 253 nt
Filed under: uncultured bacterium
Lineage: Bacteria
Description: partial 16S ribosomal RNA
Rfam family: Bacterial small subunit ribosomal RNA
Source: RNAcentral